RNAcentral lists this ribosomal RNA (482 nucleotides) under uncultured bacterium. RNAcentral's name for it is "bacterial SSU rRNA". It matches the Rfam family "Bacterial small subunit ribosomal RNA", at positions 25 to 518 of the family's 1533-position model. The record is from RNAcentral.
CAGGACGAACGCUGGCGGCGUGCUUAACACAUGCAAGUCGAACGAUGACGAUGGUGCUUGCACCGUCUGAUUAGUGGCGAACGGGUGAGUAACACGUGAGUAACCUGCCCUCCUCUUCGGGAUAACCGCCGGAAACGGUGGCUAAUACCGGAUAUGAAUGCCUGCCGCAUGGUGGGUGUUGGAAAGAUUUAUCGGUGGGGGAUGGACUCGCGGCCUAUCAGUUUGUUGGUGAGGUAAUGGCUCACCAAGGCGAUGACGGGUAGCCGGCCUGAGAGGGCGACCGGCCACACUGGGACUGAGACACGGCCCAGACUCCUACGGGAGGCAGCAGUGGGGAAUAUUGCACAAUGGGCGAAAGCCUGAUGCAGCGACGCCGCGUGGGGGAUGACGGCCUUCGGGUUGUAAACCUCUUUCAGCAGGGAAGAAGCGAGAGUGACGGUACCUGCAGAAGAAGCGCCGGCUAACUACGUGCCAGCCGCCGC